GUAACGGUGUCUUUAGACACCACGUCUCUUCUUCAAAAAACAAUUG
This is a non-coding RNA of Picea glauca (white spruce), 46 nucleotides long. Lineage: Eukaryota; Viridiplantae; Streptophyta; Pinopsida; Pinales; Pinaceae. The record is from Rfam.